UACGUAGGGGGCGAGCGUUGUCCGGAUUCAUUGGGCGUAAAGCGCUCGCAGGCGGCCCGUCGCGUCCGGCGUGAAGGCCCCCGGCUCAACCGGGGGUGGUCGUCGGAUACGGGCGGGCUGGAGGUAGGUAGGGGGACGCGGAAUUCCCGGUGUAGUGGUGAAAUGCGUAGAUAUCAGGAGGAACACCGGUGGCGAAGGCGGUCACCUGGCUCGUUACUGACGCUCAGGCACGAAAGUGUGGGUAGCAAACAGG
This 253-nucleotide ribosomal RNA is filed under the name uncultured bacterium. Its description in RNAcentral is "partial 16S ribosomal RNA". It matches the Rfam family "Bacterial small subunit ribosomal RNA", at positions 524 to 776 of the family's 1533-position model. The record is from RNAcentral.